RNAcentral lists this microRNA (22 nucleotides) under Symbiodinium microadriaticum. RNAcentral describes it as "smc-miR-12459-5p". Lineage: Eukaryota; Dinophyceae; Suessiales; Symbiodiniaceae. The record is from miRBase by way of RNAcentral.
UACCGUCCCUGAGAGUUCAAUG